ACACAGGAGGCACAAUCAGCACCGGGCAGGCGAUGGCUGCCGCGCCACGGCGGCCACACGGCAACCCCGCGUUUCCACGGCGGCCACACGGCAACCCCGCGUUUCCACGGCGGCCACACGGCAACCCCGCGUUUCCACGGCAGCACAGGACUGCCGUGACGGUAAACUCCCAAGCAGCCACCUGGGCGGUCCAGAAGCAGCUGAUGACAGCCCUGGAUGCUCUGUGCCACCUGCACACGCGUGUGGACACGCACGCUCACAGGGAAGGGGCUGCCCUUGGCUUCUUGCACACCCAGGAGCCGAGAGGCUUCCUCAGAGCAGCACAGCAGACAAGACCAACCUAAGACUGAAAUCUUGUCAAUAUGGGGAAAGAAGCCAGGAAAAGAGAAGCUGUAAACAGAACUGGGACCGGGUGCCUGAGGGUGGAGGUUGCCCGGGGCCACCUGGGCAAGGGGACUGGCGGGGAUGCAAAAGGCUCUGCCUGCUCUGAUGCCAAAGGGUUGGUGACCUUCAGAAAACGACCCAAGGCUCCGCCGCCAGCCACUGUGUGAUGGAAGUGCUCGGUGGCCCAGCACCUGCUCAGGUGACUGCAGCGAAACCCAGAGGAGCAGGUGCUUCCUGGAGACGCGGUCUCUGGGGAGGGCCUGUGUUUGUCACAUUUGACGAUGGCCGAGGCCCUCAGUCAGACCCCAAAUUCACUCCAACUGAGGAAGAGGAGGCAGGCCCUGACCCCCGCAGACCCCGGGGUGGGAACAGCCAAGGGCACGGAGGCACAGACAGCAGAGGGCGGCGUGUGGAGGCUGCCGUUACCUUCUCAUGUUUUUAAUGUAACAGCCAGCAGCAUGUUUACGAAACUCAUGCUCCUUCAAGUAUACACAUGAAACACAAGCCAUGGGACGUGUGGCGCUGUUCGCAGAGGUCGGGGCUGGGUGGGGGGCUGGGACACGGAGACCCCAACCGCGUGCUCAGGCCCCAGCGUUACUCGGGCCCCUGAUGACCCUAAAUGACUGGGGUGAUGCAGGCAUCCCUGCCGAGGGCGGCACUUGGUAUCUGGGGAGAGGGUUGGCGGGAGUCGCAUCUAUAAAGUUUCAUUUUUAUAAUCAUAUGACUUAGUUUAACAAGCAGGAGAAAAAUCCAUUGUAUUACUUCUUUUGUUAAAAUAAUUAAUUAUAGCUCAGCACCUAACUUAGCCAAAUUGAUUGAAUCACAUUAACAAUGAAAUCUUAAGAGUGUUAAAGACAGAAAACUGAAGACAACUUGAGGUCCAGGCUCUUUCAUUUACAAAUAAUGAAACAGCUGAGGCCCAGACACCCAUGCAGAGGGGCCAUGCCCUCCCCGCACCCCUGCUCCCCACCCCACUGGGCCCUGUGCCCAGGGGCCACACUUUCUCCUGGCAGCAGGUCUGUGUUGUUUAAUUAACUGCAGUUCAUUGGGAAGAAGCAGAAGCCAUGGCACAUGGGCGUCUUCCUGCCUUUGCCCCGCAUCAGAGCUGCCCCAGGGGAGCUGAAGCUGCCGCCGGAGGGGCCAUGAGUGCUGUCAGUGGGCGGGGCCUGGGCUGCCCCCAGAGCACUGUGGGUCUGGGCCAUCUCCUGGGCUGACCCGGGAAGCUCUGGCCACCCGGAGCCUGUCUCGGCAUUUGUACGGGGGAUAAAGAGACGCUUCCUCCAAGGCUGUUUUCUGAAUUCAGCAGUGCUCAGGGCAGCUGCGAUGGAGUCAGCAGCUACACCAGUGCCGGGCUGCUGCCUGGGUGGAGGGUGGAGAGGAAAUGUGAGUCACACAGGACCCCAGAGCCGCCCAGCCAAGCCCUGGCCAUGCCAGCCCGGGAGGCCCGAGGUCCCCACGCAAAUUACCCACCAGAUGAACCCACUCGAUAGAGCCUGGCAUCCCUCUCUCCUCUAGGAAAAAAAUUACAGGAAACUAAAAAGUACACUCAGUUGCGCUUGAAGCCAUCUGAGUUUCAUGAAGCAGCAAGUCCUCCAGGCCCUGGAAAGCUCAGGAGCUGGGAAGAAAGAGGCGUUUUCACUCCAGCACAGGUGCUGAUGCCACAGGAUUCCCAGAAGCCCCCAGCCCAGAUGCACCACUCAGAAGCCCCUCCACCCCCACUUCAUAAAAAUCCAAAUCACUCUGUGUGUAACUAAGUCUUCUGGUUGUUUGGCACCUUUUGAAAAUGACUUUUGAACUUUUCUUAUGACAAAGUCCAUCUUUGGGGUGAGGCCCCGUCCACACCCCACAAAAGGCUGUGGUCCUCUGAAGCUCCCGGGCGCAACAGGCUAUAGUUUGCUUCCCGCCCAGCCCAGGAAGCUCAGAGUCACAACUUCAGCUUCCCUAGGAACUUCCCUGACGCUGUGGAGGCCUUUGGCACUGGCAAGGGGAGGGAGGUUCAGUGACUGUGCUGAGCAGGAGGGACACUGAGGCGCACACGGGGCCAGGAUGUCGCGUUUAAUGACACCCCGAGGGGACGCCAUUUUUGCAGCCGAGGCCAACACAGCCUGCUCCUCUCUUUAUGUCCCGAGAAGCAAGAGGGACUCCAGCCGUCUCCCCCGCGGCCUCCUCCAGGUGGCUGCCCCGCAGCGGUGAGUCCAUGAAAAGCAAAUGGAACGACGGCAUGGAGGCGUCUUUUCCCACCCGUGCCUCGUGGGCCUGUGGGGAACCAUCCUUGCCGGAGCGGCCCCAAGGGGAGCCACGUCUGCGUGGCCAGCCAGGCCCAGCUCAGCAGCUGCCAUGGAGCAGCCUCCACCGCACACCUGGGAGCACCCGCACCCUGCAAUUCCUGCGCAGGUGGGAGCAGAUACGCUUAGACUUCCCCUAAAAGUGCGGGGAACCGACAAACAUCCCUGCCUUCCUCAAAGACCCCGGCUGAGCCAGCGCCUGUGGCCUUCCCUCUUGGAGGUGGGGCCUCUCCCCGUGGUGUCCGACGUCUGUGGCCGUUUCAGGUCGACCAGGGUGAGGGUGAGGGCAGGCUUUCUGUUUCUGCUUAAGGAUCAUAAAGUAAUUGUCUUUCAAAAGCAAUAGUAUUCACGGCCAGAAAUGUCUAUCUAGCAAUUGCUUCCAGAACAAGACAAAGCGCCGAGACUGCUGAAAGAUGGAAAUAACCUCGCAUCUCAGGAAAGGAGACGCAGGGCCGCGUCCCGCCGGCAAGAGCAUCGCCAUGGCGGCUCCCAGCUCCGUGGAGGCCCGGACGGGCAGCGCCGGCCCCCGUGCUGUUCAAAACUCAGCCCCUGGCAGGAAGGAAGGCAGCCGGUCCUGAAAGGGCCUUUGUGUUCAGCCUUAUCAGAGCUCCGAGUCCUUAGUAGGAAACUGCCCGAGUGCAGGAGUAAAAAUAUUCCAGAUCAUUAGGGAAUUCCCUGCAGUCUGAGUCAUCGGGAGGCUUCCCUGCCACACCCGCGAGGUUUCCACACAGGCAGGCCUGCGGGCCCAGGAGCCUCCCAGACCGGCCAGGACCCGCCGCCCGGAGCCGGGCCACCCCCACGCCGGUGCUGAUGCUGAGCCACUGUUUCCACAAAGAAAGCCACGAGGGCCGCUGGUGGAAGCAGCAGCGUCCCUGGGUCCCACGGUGCCCUCGAGCCCUGCUCCCCACGGCGUCUCCUGCCCUGCUCCCCAAAGCAUCCUCGUGCCCUGCUCCCCGCGGCGUCCUCGUGCCGUGCACCCCACAGCAUCCUCAUGCCCAGAAGCGAGCGUCCCUGGGGCGUCUCAUCCAUCCCCGGCUCUCCCCCAGGAGUCUGUCCCAGCCUGGCUCCCAGAGGAGAUUCUGGAGGGGAAACAGCCACCCAGCCCUGCUGCACAUCUGCCUGCAGGGCCUCACACGGAGCCACCCUGUGACCCACAGCCCUUUCACACCGAGGCAUGUGCUCAGGAGACAGGCAGGCGUCCACACAGGACUCACGCACUGAGGUUCAUGGCGGCUUUUCCACGAUCAUCUCCACAGGGUGGACGUGGCCUAGUGCCAUCGACAGACAGGUGUGGGCAGCCACACGGUGGGCUUCCCUCAGCCACAGAAAGACCCCACGUCCCGACCUGUGCCAACGAGGGGACCUGAGGACCCUACGCCCUGACCCACACCAACGAGGGAACAUGGAGGAUGCCACGCUCCACAGAAGCUGCCAGGCACCACAGCCGGCAGGAUGGGGUUCCCCAGCAGGCCAGCAGGGAGCAGCCAGACCAGGCGAGGCCACGGCGAGGGGGCAUUGGGGUUGUCGGAGCCGGGGUGGGGGAAGGGAGAGCAGGGGUGGCCACUCAUGGGCAAGGGUUUCUUUCUGGGGACAAGAAAAUGUUCUGAAAUUGGUGGUGGCCGCAUAAUUAUGUGAAGCCACCAAAACCCACCGAAUUAUACACUUUGAGUGAAUUAAAUGGUGUAUAGAUCAUAUUUCGAUAAAGCUGAUAUAAAAAAGAAACUAGCCAACAUGACCAUGGGUGACUUUGUCGUGUAUGAUCCCAAAAGGCCUGAGAAGGGAGAGGAGGGAGGGGAGCCAGAAGCCCGGCCCCUCCUCCUGCAGUGGGGACUGACGUGACGCGUGGCCUCCCCACACCAGCGGGGCCCAGGCAGGGGGAGUCUGAGAGUCGCCCCUAGCGCUAUCCAGAAUGCGGCUUGAUGAGAACUGUGGGGUCAUCACUCAAUUCUAGGGGUCCUGGACCAUCUGGGCCACUGAGCCAUCCUCAGGGCAUGAGGAAGACACGGGCAGGUGUCUCUUCCCCGGGCGCUGCCCUCCUUGCCUUCCCUGUGUGGUCUCUGGGAGCAAACAGAGAAGCCUGGGGGUUCAGCCCGGCCACCUGUCCUGCUCCCAAAGACGCCAUGUGGUGACAAAGCAGCCCCAACUCUCCUCUCUCGGAGCACACGGCGACAGUGAUGUCUGUCCACACUCACAGGCGCCCAGCAAUGUCACCUUCUCCCUGAAAACACAAAUCUGAAAGAUCUGCAUUUGGCCUUUAAACUGUUGGGAUGGACACCUCUGAAGGUGUUGUCAUUGCGAUGCUGCCUUCGGGGCCAGCAUCCAACAUCUUCAGGAGGUGACAGCUGAGCUGCUCCACACAGGGAGGCUGCCCGUGCCGCGGACGCUGGAGCUGGGAAUUCCCAGCUGUGUCCUCCUUGCUCACCCAGCCCCGUCAGAGGGCACACCACGGAGAUGCCACAGAGGCAGCCAUCCCCCGGGUCCAUCUCCCUCGGCCUACAUCCCGCACGAC
This 5178-nucleotide long non-coding RNA is filed under the name Homo sapiens (human). RNAcentral's name for it is "HSALNT0395416". The record is from RNAcentral. Lineage: Eukaryota; Metazoa; Chordata; Mammalia; Primates; Hominidae.